CUUUGAAGGGGGGCGGCGUGCUGGCGGUGUGGUCGCAGGGGCCGGACAAGUCGUUCGGCGCGCGGCUGUUCAAAUCGGGCUUCAAGGUC
RNAcentral lists this transfer RNA (89 nucleotides) under Methylopila capsulata. RNAcentral describes it as "tRNA-His". Lineage: Bacteria; Pseudomonadati; Pseudomonadota; Alphaproteobacteria; Hyphomicrobiales; Methylopilaceae. The record is from RNAcentral.